Molecule: long non-coding RNA, 1171 nt
Filed under: Mustela putorius furo (domestic ferret)
Lineage: Eukaryota; Metazoa; Chordata; Mammalia; Carnivora; Mustelidae
Description: lncRNA (ENSMPUG00000028118.1)
Source: RNAcentral
GUAAUUCUGACCUGCCAAAGCAAAUAUUUCAUGAUCCGCUACUGCGUGGAUUUUCUGAUAUAUCUAUGUAAACUAUGGGCUUUAUUUAAAUCAUGUAUGUCUUUAUUAACACCAGGUACAUAUUUAAAGCUUUUGUGAGAUUUAUUGUGCAAUGCCAGCAGAAGACUCUUGAUCUCCCUGCAACUUGGCAGUCUGUGCUUUUACCAAUCACCAGCUGACAUCGAGGAGAGAAAGCAAAAUGCUGAUGAGGAGGAAGAACAGGAGCAAUCAAGAGUGCUUCAGCCUUUGCCUGGACAUCCAAGUGACAAUGGACGUUUUUAUCUGUUAACUAUUAUCUGUUAACUUGGGGGAGACUUAAGAGAGCUGUAUGGUUUGACUCCCCAGUAACUACCAGGCAUAAUAGCAGGCAUUUUACCCAAGGAAAAAGAACUGACAUUUGCUAAGUUGUCUGCUAGAUACUAGAAAACAGGCUACUUUUUAUAUGCACAUUUCAUUGAUUCCACAGAACAUAAUACCUUUUUUUGCAAGUGAAGAACUAGUUUUCAAAGGUUUGCAGAUGUAGCAAGUAUGUAGAAGAGGCAGGGAUUAAACAGGUCUGAACAACUCCCUCUAUUUUACUCUUUCAAAAAUACCAAGUUAGUAAGACUAGGAAAGUAAAACUCCUGUUAACAACUAGGGGAUCUUGGAAACGACACUUCUUAGAGUUAUUAUAUUAUUAACAUAUUUUUCAAAUGCAGUCUCUGUAUUGAUAGGAAUGUAAGUUCAAAUAUUUUAGAGGUUUUUACAAGGAGGUAGAAAUAUCAAACACAUUAAGAACCAUCCCAAGUAUUUUUGUUUUCAUUCCAAAAUUUCUCAGCGAACUUGUUUUGCUUUUAUUAAACCUAAGGUAAAUUGCAGAGCAAUCACUAUCAACAUUAUUUAAAUCUCUUAAUAGGCGAAGAGUAAAGUUUCUAAGUUGUGUUGUAUCACUAUGGGUGAAAUGAAGAGCUUCAUUUUGUCAGAGUGGUUAUUGUCCGUUCUCCGAGUUGAUUUCAUAACUACUAAUACCAACCCUCUUACCUAAUCUCACUGCUUUAGAGAAUGGCUUGAGGCCUUCCCAUAUCUCAUCCUGGUUUUGUUUGUUUUCAAAUCUCUCCUUUCUCACCGGAGCUCAUAGUUCUCUGUUGUUUUU